GUAAAAGAACUUAUGAGUGAAAUACAAUUCAAUCCUUGAAAAUCAAUAUGGUAUCAGAGCAGGAAAAUUAACCUGCGUCUGCUAUACUGCUAUUCGAGCGUGUUCAACCCUCAAAAUGUCUGAAGAUAAUCUGCUGAUAUCCGAAGCUGAAAGCUCACAGGUGCCUUCCUCCAUGAACGUGCAUGAGGUGGACGUCAACCCAAAUCAAAGAUUAAGCUCAGUCGUGUUGAAUGAGUUUAAUUACUUGCCUUGGUCGAGAGCUGUGUCUUUGGUGCUAGGUGGAAGGUCCAAGUUGGGGUUCAUAAAUGGAAGCAUCAAAGUACCUGAUGUUGGAAGUUUUGAGACUCUUGUCCCACAUUGGUGAAAACAAGAUUCCAAAGUACCUUUAUAUACUUUUUGUCUUCUACAAUAUUGGUUAUGUGUUGGACUACUUGGAAUGGGAAUUGAGGCUUGGGCCACCAUUUCUGUGGAUUGGGCUUGAUGAUUAUACCAUAAUAUUAAUAUUAAUUAAUCAAGACAAGGGCCUUGGGGCACUUGGGGCCUAAGAAUUAAAAUUAAUCUGAUCAAUUAGUUUUAAUUUCGAAUUAAGUUUUUAAUUAAAUUAAUUAAAAACGUUUUGAUUAAAGAUACAACCUUUUGUAAAGAGUUGUAAAGUUUCAGAUACAUCCAAAAGGUAUUUGAAGAGGUAUGAAAGAGCCUAUAUAACUGGAGUCCUCAGUUCAUCAUCGAUCAUCCUUUCUUCUUCCUUUUCUUCCGUACAAACUUUCCAGAGAGAGUAAACACACAAAGCAAUUCGCUAGAAUUCUAUAAUCCAGUGCGGGUUGUAGGAUUAGGUAGUUGUAUCCUGGUCGAGCAGACGUUGUAGAACCACAAGCACAAGAGUGGGACGAAAUUACUGUUCGAAGGACAUAGCUUUUACGCUAGCCUCUACCUUCUGUAAUCAAGUUAGUACUUUUGAUAUUCUCAUAUUUAAUUUUCUGUAGUCGUUGUGUAUCAUUCUGUAUUGCAAGUAUUUUUGAGUAAUAAAGUAUAAAUAUUUCAAGUUCUGUAUUUCUGUUAUUUCUGUUUCUAAAUUGUUCUCCAACAAUCUUCGAACAGUAUGGAACAAUCUGGAACUAAACCUCUUUCUGAGAAGCCUGAGAAAUUUAAGGGCGGAGACUUCAAACGAUGGCAGCAGAAAAUGCUGUUUUAUCUGACAACCUUGAAUUUGGCUAAUGUUGUGCACCAGACUGAACCUACUGCAGAUGGAGAAAAUAUUUUUUCUGCAGAAACUUUGACGACUAUAGAUGCCUGGAAACAUAAUGAUUUCCUCUGCAGAAACUAUAUUCUUAAUGCAUUAGAUGAUUCAUUGUAUGAUGUCUACGUGGUGUGCAAAACAGCCAAGGAACUGUGGGAAUCAUUUGAGAAAAAAUAUAAAACCGAGGAUGCUGGUUCAAAGAAAUUUGUCGUGGGCAAAUUUUUGGACUACAAAAUGGUGGAUUCCAAGUCUGUUGUCUCUCAAACUGAAGAUCUCCAGAAAAUCAUCCAUGACAUUCAUGUUGAAGGGAUGGUAAUCAAUGAGUCUUUCCAAGUGGCGUCCAUUAUCGAAAAACUGCCACCUUCUUGGAAAGAGUUCAAGAGUUAUCUCAAGCACAAACGAAAGGAGAUGACCCUUGAGGAUCUCAUUGUAAGGCUGGGAAUUGAGGAAGAUAACAGAAAGAAUGAGAAGGGCCUGGUUUCGAGUAUGGAAGCCAAGGCGAAUGUUGUUGAAGGAAGUUCAUCAAAGCAAAGGCCAAAAUUCCAGAAAACUAAGAAGAAGGAAAACCACUUUAUCCCUGGUGCGAAAGGCAAAGACUUCAAGAAAAUCAAGGGAAGUUGCUGGGUUUGUGGAAAGCAAGGCCAUAGGGCUCAAGAAUGUCGCCAUCGAAGGGAUCAAGGUCCUGGAAAUCAAGGCAACAACAACCGCGCAAACCUGAUUCAAAACAAUGUGGAUGCCCUGGCUGCAAUGAUUUCUGAAAUCAACCUUGUAUCUGACCAUGCUGAUUGGUGGAUAGAUACCGGUGCAACUCGCCAUGUUUGUGGUGACAGAAAUAUGUUCUCUUCGUACCAGAAAAUAGAGGGAAACGAGCAGCUGUUUAUGGGAAAUGCAUCCUCAUCUGUUGUGGCUGGAAUAGGGAAGUGUGUUCUGAAAUUCACUUCUGGAAAGGAAUUGACCCUUCUUGACGUACUGCAUGUCCCCGAUAUAAGGAAGAAUCUUGUUUCUGGUCCUAUCCUUAGUAAUAAAGGAUUCAAACUAGUUUUUGAGUCCAAUAAGUUUGUAUUAACGAAAGGGGGAAUGUUUGUGGGAAAAUGGUUACCUUGCUGAUGGAUUAUUCAAACUCAAUGUACUUGCUAAUGCUAUGAAUGAAAUAAAUAAUGCUUCUGCUUAUAUUGUUGAUUCGUCUAAUUUAUGGCACUCUAGGUUAGGACAUGUAAAUUUUCGUUCUCUUUUUAGAAUGCAUAAUUUAGGUUUGCUGCCCAAAAUUGAUUAUCUAGAUAAUGUUAAAUGUGAAACUUGUACAGAAUCGAAAUUUGCAAGUCAAAGCUUUAAAUCAGUGCAUGAAAAAUCCAAUGAUUUGUUAGAUUUAAUUCAUAGUGACUUGUGUGAUUUUAGAUCAUAUCCAACUUGUGGUGGAAAGAAUUAUUAUGUAACAUUUAUAGAUGAUUUCAGUAAGUAUUGUUAUGUUUAUUUACUUCAUAGCAAAGACGAGACCUUGGAUAUGUUUAAGACAUAUAAGGCAGAAGUUGAAAAUCAACUUAACAAGAAGAUUAAAGUCUUAAGGUCCGAUAGGGGAGGAGAAUAUGAGUCUCAUGCUUUUGCUGAAUUUUGUGCCACACAUGGCAUAAUUCAUCAAACAACAGCCCCCUAUACACCACAACAAAACGGUGUUGCCGAAAGGAAAAAUAGGACUUUUAAAGACAUGAUCAAUUUUAUGUUGAAUAGUUCUGGACUUCCACACAAUUUGUGUGGUGAAGCUUUACUUACUGCAAAUAAAAUUUUGAAUCGAAUUCCACCUAAAACGAGAAAGGAGUCACCAUAUGAAUUAUGGAAAGGAAGAACCCCUACGUUUAAAUUGCUUAAAGUGUGGGGUUGUCUGGCAAAAGUACAAGUUCCAUUGCCAAAAAGAACAAAAUUAGGACCUAAAACUAUUGAUUGUGUUUUUAUUGGUUUUGCAUCUAAUAGUUCGGCUUAUAGAUUCUUAAUUUUUCAUUCCGAAAUAAGUGAUAUACAUGUCAAUACUAUUAUAGAAUCUAUAAAUGCAAUAUUUUUUGAGGAUAUUUUUCCAUACAAAAUAGGCAAGUCUAAUUUAUUGAAAAAGAGAAUACAUGAUGAUGUAUCUGAGGUUACUGAUGAACCUAGAGAACAUGAUGAUGGUUCAACCUCGUCUAGAGUUCAAGAAGAAGAACUUGAACCUAGAAGAAGUAAAAGGACAAAAAUCCGAAAGGACUUUGGGCCUGAUUUUGUUACUUUAUUAACCGAGACAGAACCUCAAUCAUUCAAGGAGGCCAUGUCCACUCCUGAAGCUCCAUUUUGGAAGGAUGCAGUUAACAGUGAGAUAGAUUCCAUUAUGCAAAAUCAUACAUGGGAAUUAGUCGAUUUGCCCCCUGGCAAUAAGCCAAUUGGGUACAAAUGGAUCUUUAAGAAAAAAUUAAAACCAGAUGGUACAAUUGACAAAUAUAAGGCUCGUUUGGUAGCUAAAGGAUACCGUCAAAAACAUGGUUUGGAUUUCUUUGAUACAUAGUCACCUGUAACGAGAAUUACUUCAAUAAGAUUAUUGAUUGCUAUAGCUGCACUCCAUAACAUGGAAAUACAUCAAAUGGAUGUAAAAACUGCAUUCUUAAAUGGAAACUUAGAUGAGGAAAUAUAUAUGGAACAACCCGAGGGGUUUGUAGUUAAAGGUAAAGAACACAAAGUGUGUAAACUUGUGAAAUCGCUAUAUGGGCUUAAACAAGCUCCAAAGCAAUGGCAUGAAAAAUUUGACCAUGUUCUGAUCACACACGGUUUUAAGAUAAAUGAGUGUGAUAAGUGUGUCUACACAAAAACUCAAAAUAAUGCUUGCGUUAUGUUGUGUUUAUAUGUAGAUGAUAUGCUUAUAAUGGGAACUAACAAAGAGAUAAUACAUUGGACCAAGAAGAUAUUGAAAUCAAGUUUCGAUAUGAAAGAUCUUGGUCUAGCUGAUGUGAUUCUUGGUAUAAAAAUCAAAAGAAACCAAGAAGGUUAUAUUCUUACGCAAUCCCAUUAUAUAGAAGCAACACUUAGAAAGUAUGGUCAUUUGGAAAGUAAAGAUGCAAUUACUCCUUAUGAUGCCGAUAGCAAACUAAAGAAAAAUAGUGGUGAUGCUAUAUCUCAACGUGAAUAUUCACAAGUCAUUGGAAGCCUUAUGUACAUUAUGAAUUGUACAAGGCCUGAUAUAGCUUACUCAGUAAGUAGACUGAGUAGAUAUACAUGCAAUCCUGGGCAUGAUCAUUGGGAAGCUUUAAUUCGAGUAUUGAGAUACUUAAAGCAUACAAUAAAUUAUGGAUUGCAUUAUACAAGGUAUCCUCCUGUGCUUGAAGGAUUUACUGAUGCGAAUUGGAUAUCGGAUAGCAGUGAUACGAAAUCCACAAGUGGAUAUGUAUUUACUUUAGGAGGAGCAGCAAUAUCUUGGAAAUCCUCCAAACAAACGUGCAUAGCCUGAUCAACAAUGGAAUCGGAAUUUAUAGCCCUCGAUAUGGCUGGAGGAGAAGCUGAGUGGCUAAGAGAUUUUUUGGAAGAUGUUCCCAUAUGGCCUAAACCUGUAACGGCAAUAUGUAUACACUGUGAUAGUUUAGCUGCACAAUAUCGAGCUAAAAAUAGUGUAUACAAUGGGAAGUCUAGACAAAUUAGACGAAGACAUAAUACAAUAAAGCAAUGGCUCUCUAGUGGUGUAAUUUUUAUUGACUAUGUCAAGUCAAAAGAUAAUAUUGCGGAUCCGCUUACUAAAGGCUUAUCUAGAGAGCAAGUUAAGCAUACAUUGAGGGGAAUGGGUUUAAAGCCAAUAGAGUAAAAUGAAACUGCUAAAUGGAAACCUAACCUAGUUGAUUGGAGAUCCCAUGGUCUAGGUUCAAUAGGCCAACUGGUUUGGCUAGAUUCAAGAAGAAACACACUUACAUACCCAUUCCUAUGAUGGAAGAAGUGUGGUGACUGCUGAUGAGUAUAGGAUACAUUAGUUUAAUGAUAUUGAUACUUGUAAGUCAAGUGGAAUAGUAGCAGCUUAUUCUUAAUCAAUAUCACCUAUAUGAGAAAAAAUGUGGGGUCGCAUUUAUGAGAUUUAUAUGGCUACAUUCUCUAAAGCUCUCAUGAAUCCAGGAUUUGUUCAGGACCAAAAUGAACACAAACGUAUGAAUUUGCGAUGUGUUGGUGUGGCAUAUGUUUUGCUUAUUGUCUAGGUUUACUGCGGAGAUGAACAAUUCAAGAUUUUAUAUUCACUGCGUCAUCUAGUAAAUCCGAUAAGUAUAUACUAAGGUAGGUUCAAGUCCAAAAGACACCUUUCCUGAUGUAUGUCACAUCUAUUGUUUACUCUCGUAUCUUAGUUUCUCUAAGACUAAAUAGUCGUCUCAAAAUGUGGGGUAUUGUUGGAAGUUUUGAGACUCUUGUCCCACAUUGGUGAAAACAAGAUUCCAAAGUACCUUUAUAUACUUUUUGUCUUCUACAAUAUUAGUUAUGUGUUGGACCACUUGGAAUGGGAAUUGAGGCUUGGGCCACCAUUUCUGUGGAUUGGGCUUGAUGAUUAUACCAUAAUAUUAAUAUUAAUUAAUCAAGACAAGGGCCUUGGGGCACUUGGGGCCUAAGAAUUAAAAUUAAUCUGAUCAAUUAGUUUUAAUUUCGAAUUAAGUUUUUAAUUAAAUUAAUUAAAAACGUUUUGAUUAAAGAUACAACCUUUUGUAAAGAGUUGUAAAGCUUCAGAUACAUCCAAAAGGUAUUUGAAGAGGUAUGAAAGAGCCUAUAUAACUGGAGUCUUCAGUUCAUCAUCGAUCAUCCUUUCUUCUUCCUUUUCUUCCGUACAAACUUUCCAGAGAGAGUAAACACACAAAGCAAUUCGCUAGAAUUCUAUAAUCCAGUGCGGGUUGUAGGAUUAGGUAGUUGUAUCCUGGUCGAGCAGACGUUGUAGAACCACAAGCACAAGAGUGGGACGGAAUUACUGUUCGAAGGACAUAGCUUUUAUGCUAGCCUCUACCUUCUGUAAUCAAGUUAGUACUUUUGAUAUUCUCAUAUUUAAUUUUCUAUAGUCGUUGUGUAUCAUUCUGUAUUGCAAGUAUUUUUGAGUAAUAAAGUAUAAAUAUUUCAAGUUCUGUAUUUCUGUUAUUUCUGUUUCUAAAUUGUUCUCCAACACCUGAUGCUUCGUCACCAAACUAUGAAUCCUGGCUUAGCAAGGAUCAGCUGGUUAUGUCAUGGCUCUUGAAUUCCAUGGAACGUAAAUUAGCUGAAAUAUUCAGCUACUCAGAAUCCUCGUACCAGCUAUGGGAAGCGGUCAAGGAAAU
Molecule: long non-coding RNA, 6519 nt
Filed under: Malus domestica (apple)
Lineage: Eukaryota; Viridiplantae; Streptophyta; Magnoliopsida; Rosales; Rosaceae
Description: long non-coding RNA (MDOM_LNC018595)
Source: RNAcentral